CCUACGGGAGGCAGCAGUGGGGGAUAUUGCACAAUGGGGGGAACCCUGAUGCAGCGACGCCGCGUGGGUGAAGAAGCGCCUCGGCGCGUAAAGCCCUGUCAGCAGGGAAGAAAAUGACGGUACCUGAAGAAGAAGCCCCGGCUAACUACGUGCCAGCAGCCGCGGGAAUACGUAGGGGGCAAGCGUUAUCCGGAUUUACUGGGUGUAAAGGGGGCGCAGACGGCGAUGCAAGCCAGGGGUGAAAGCCCGGGGCCCAACCCCGGGACUGCUCUUGGAACUGCGUGGCUGGAGUGCAGGAGGGGCAGGCGGAAGUCCUGGUGUAGCGGUGAAAUGCGUAGAUAUCAGGAGGAACACCGGUGGCGAAGGCGGCCUGCUGGACUGCAACUGACGUUGAGGCCCGAAAGCGUGGGGAGCAAACAGGAUUAGAUACCCGGGUAGUC
This 440-nucleotide ribosomal RNA is filed under the name uncultured bacterium. RNAcentral's name for it is "partial 16S ribosomal RNA". It matches the Rfam family "Bacterial small subunit ribosomal RNA", at positions 338 to 795 of the family's 1533-position model. The record is from RNAcentral.